This 1267-nucleotide long non-coding RNA is filed under the name Carassius auratus (goldfish). Its description in RNAcentral is "lncRNA (ENSCARG00000029187.1)". The record is from RNAcentral. Lineage: Eukaryota; Metazoa; Chordata; Actinopteri; Cypriniformes; Cyprinidae.
AUGUUCUUGUCUCUCUCCUCAGUUUGUAGUGAGUGGUGGGACUGGGAGCUGGGUAUGACUGGCCUUGGCACACUAAGUGUAGGUUUUAGCAAGGAUGGCGGUCUGGCGAGUGGCUUUGGCUGGGUUAGGACAGCGAUAGAACCGAGAGGUCUGUGUAAGGAUGAUUGUGAGAGACUCUGCUGGAAUUUGGCAGGCCCGCUGCUUGGAGAGGCGCCCCACGCUGUGACUCCCAUUCAGCGGUCCAGCGCGCUGUGAGGUUGGGAAGUUUCACUGAGCCGUGCACUCAAUGGCUCCACAAAGCUGAUUACAAGCCCCAGCGAAUUCCUGAAGGGACCGGGCAGCCACGCAGGUGUGCGGGAAACCGGGGCAACCCUUCAGAGUUAUAGUGACAGAGCAAGACAAACCGGGAGACCACACAAAAAGCAAAGCGUCCCGCGAAGUGGCCAAGGAUUUGGUGGGAAAAGAACACCUUAAAUGUCUUCUCCCUUGUGAGCGAAAGGGGAAGGGAGGAGAAACUUUCCGAAGGCCUAUUAAAACGAUGCCCAGUCUCAUCAGGACAGUGAACUGAAAUGCAUUUUUAAGCAUCGGAAACGAAUUUCUGUUUUUAAGUUUGCCAUAUGCAUUCUGAAUGAUCUAGUGUCUAGUGUCUCGCUUAAAAUAGGGUUCGGGGUUAACGACGAUUCAUAAAACGUAAAGGCCUGCUUUCCCUCACCGUGCCCAAUUCAUUUCUCUGGUGCUAAAAAAUCUACAUCAAUGAAGCAGACAGCGUAUUUAAUUAGAGCGGAGUCUAACUAUCAAUUACUCAGGAAAAACACAGGAUCCCCAAGGACCGGUAAUCAGCGCGCCAACAGUCGGCCGCGCGCUCAUUACAGCAAAGCGACAGGCGGGAAUAAUAAUCAGGGCGCGGCGACGCAUCUGCCUACAGUAUUACCACUGCUUCCUGUUGCCUCUCACAAGUUUAAUAACUCCUAGUUUUUGCUCAGUUUAGCCAAGUGGUUGCUCACUUGUUGGCGAUAUGACACUUUUUAAUGGUUUUGCUUGCUGAAUAAAAUUAGUCCCACUGCUUGUCUCUUUUAGUCUAUAAUAUAAGCUUUUGCACUUCACACAAAAUGGAAUUAAAAUAGUUUGUAACAUUUUUUUCGCUCAUUCCACGUACAUAACACAGUAACACAGAAGUAUACUUGGUGUUAAUUUUUGUUAUAGAAUUUUCAGCUACCAGCAUGCUUUGUCAUUUCAGUGACCAGUGUUUGUCUUUCUUCCUGUCAAC